RNAcentral lists this ribosomal RNA (464 nucleotides) under uncultured bacterium. Its description in RNAcentral is "partial 16S ribosomal RNA". It matches the Rfam family "Bacterial small subunit ribosomal RNA", at positions 338 to 795 of the family's 1533-position model. The record is from RNAcentral.
CCUACGGGAGGCAGCAGUAGGGAAUAUUCGGCAAUGGGGGGAACCCUGACCGAGCAACGCCGCGUGAAGGAUGAAGGUCUUCGUUCUGUAAACUUCUGUUAUAAAGGAAGAACGACGGAUGGAGGAAAUGACAUCCGAGUGACGGUACCUUAUGAGAAAGCCACGGCUAACUACGUGCCAGCAGCCGCGGUAAUACGUAGGUGGCAAGCGUUAUCCGGAAUUAUUGGGCGAAAAGAGGUGGCAGGCGGCAGCAAAGGUCUGGGGUGAAAGCCUGAGGCUAAACUUCAGUAAGCCCUAGAAACCGGGCAGCUAGAGUGCAGGAGAGGAUAGUGGAAUUCCAUGUGUAGCGGUGAAAUGCGUAGAUAUAUGGAGGAACACCAGUGGCGAAGGCGACGAUCUGGCCUGCAACUGACGCUCAGGCCCGAAAGCGUGGGGAGCAAAUAGGAUUAGAUACCCCAGUAGUC